This 706-nucleotide long non-coding RNA is filed under the name Mus pahari (shrew mouse). Its description in RNAcentral is "lncRNA (MGP_PahariEiJ_G0002925.1)". The stretch from base 1 to 125 matches the Rfam family "HOX antisense intergenic RNA myeloid 1 conserved region 1". The record is from RNAcentral. Lineage: Eukaryota; Metazoa; Chordata; Mammalia; Rodentia; Muridae.
CACCGUUUCAGUGGCAUUUAAAUCCCCGGCGCUCCUCAGUGUAGGUGACGCGCGCUUGCCCCCCCAGGCAGCCCGGGCCGCGGCGGUAGCUGCGGCCGCUCCCAGAGCUGACUUGGAGCCCUGGGACCAAAGGGAGUCGAGACUGCCUUCUGCGCGCGCCCGGCUCUGCGCGCCUCCACCGCCAGAUGUGGGGGGAUGGGAGGCCCCCUCCGCGGCCCCUUCCCCCACCCAGCCCAGAAAGCUGAACUGGCAAGAGGACGAAUGCAUCCAGGAGCUGCGCAGUCCUGGCCACAGCCAGGACGCCCUGCUCAGAUCUCAGAGCCUGGGGCCUGAAAACCACCACAGUCCCCACGUACCGAGGCUGCUGAGGGACUGGGGGAGUAGAGGGUGAAGGGAAGGUAGGGAGCAAACCCCUGAAUAAAGUCUGAGGUUUCAUUGUAAUUCCCAAGCUUUUGCUAUUAAGAACUGGGUUCUUCCAUCAAUCACCGCCCCCCCCCACGCACAUGUUGCUGCAGUUUCUCACGGUCUGUUUUUCCUGAACCCAUCCACAGCUGGGAGAUUAAUCAACCACACUGAAAAUGGGGUGGGGGGAGGGAAAGGAAGAGUUGGAAUGUAGAUGUUUGAAACAAAUGUGUAUAAAUAAAUGAAUUUUUGAUAACUCCGUUAUUGACCUAGAGACUAGCAGCUUGGUGAGGGAACUCCACUC